Molecule: unclassified non-coding RNA, 391 nt
Filed under: Leishmania donovani
Lineage: Eukaryota; Euglenozoa; Kinetoplastea; Trypanosomatida; Trypanosomatidae
Description: gene:unknown
Source: RNAcentral
UGACGCGGUUGCGGAUUUCUGCCGUUCGUCGACACACACACACACACACACACAGUUAUGAGCGCAGGCACACACAGCCAGACUCGCACAAUGUGUCAGUGACGGCGGGGGAACGGGGUUCCCUUCAUGAAGGGCGCUCUGGAGGGGUGCUUGUUCGCACACGGCAGAAACACGCCGAUCAUUCAGCGAGCAAGUCGCCGCGGCUAUCAAAGACACUGUGCGGACCGACAGCCACCCAUGCAAGCACUGGUGAAGAAAGACACCUCCACGUGCCCGACUAUGUAUGCGUGCGUGUGGCGGAUGACUAAGGCGAUAAUACAUUUUUUUUUGUCGAAUAAUGGUGCAGAUGCGCGCCGGGGCAUGUACACGCCACAACAAAGCGCGAUGAGGC